CCGCCCAUAGCUCAAUCCGGCAGAGCAGCUCCCUCUUAAGGAGAAGGUUUCAGGUUCAAUUCCUGAUGGGCGGA
This 74-nucleotide transfer RNA is filed under the name Candidatus Spechtbacteria bacterium RIFCSPHIGHO2_01_FULL_38_11. RNAcentral describes it as "tRNA-Lys". It matches the Rfam family "tRNA". From Rfam's summary of the family: Transfer RNA (tRNA) molecules are approximately 80 nucleotides in length. Their secondary structure includes four short double-helical elements and three loops (D, anti-codon, and T loops). Further hydrogen bonds mediate the characteristic L-shaped molecular structure. tRNAs have two regions of fundamental functional importance: the anti-codon, which is responsible for specific mRNA codon recognition, and the 3' end, to which the tRNAs corresponding amino acid is attached (by aminoacyl-tRNA synthetases). tRNAs cope with the degeneracy of the genetic code in two manners: having more than one tRNA (with a specific anti-codon) for a particular amino acid; and 'wobble' base-pairing, i.e. permitting non-standard base-pairing at the 3rd anti-codon position. Lineage: Bacteria; Candidatus Spechtiibacteriota. The record is from RNAcentral. RNAcentral also lists the same sequence under 3 other names.